RNAcentral lists this ribosomal RNA (468 nucleotides) under uncultured bacterium. RNAcentral's name for it is "partial 16S ribosomal RNA". It matches the Rfam family "Bacterial small subunit ribosomal RNA", at positions 28 to 507 of the family's 1533-position model. The record is from RNAcentral.
GACGAACGCUGGCGGCGUGCUUAACACAUGCAAGUCGAGCGGAAAGGCCCUGCUUUUGUGGGGUGCUCGAGUGGCGAACGGGUGAGUAACACGUGAGUAACCUGCCCUUGACUUUGGGAUAACUUCAGGAAACUGGGGCUAAUACCGGAUAGGAGCUCCUGCUGCAUGGUGGGGGUUGGAAAGUUUCGGCGGUUGGGGAUGGACUCGCGGCUUAUCAGCUUGCUGGUGGGGUAGUGGCUUACCAAGGCUUUGACGGGUAGCCGGCCUGAGAGGGUGACCGGCCACAUUGGGACUGAGAUACGGCCCAGACUGCUACGGGAGGCAGAAGUGGGGAAUAUUGCACAAUGGACGGAAGCCUGAUGCAGCAACGCCGCGUGCGGGAUGACGGCCUUCGGGUUGUAAACCGCUUUCGCCUGUGACGAAGCGUGAGUGACGGUAAUGGAUAAAGAAGCACCGGCUUACUACGUG